CCUACGGGAGGCAGCAGUGGGGAAUAUUGGGCAAUGGAGGAAACUCUGACCCAGCGACGCCGCGUGCGGGAUGAAGGCCUUCGGGUUGUAAACCGCUUUCAGUAGGGAAGAAGCGAAAGUGACGGUACCUACAAAAGAAGCACCGGCUAACUAUGUGCCAGCAGCCGCGGUAAUACAUAGGGUGCAAGCGUUGUCCGGAAUUAUUGGGCGUAAAGAGCUCGUAGGUCGUUUGUUACGUCGGAUGUGAAAACCUGAGGCUCAACCUCAGGCCUGCAUUCGAUACGGGCAAACUAGAGUUUGGUAGGGGAGACUGGAAUUCCUGGUGUAGCGGUGGAAUGCGCAGAUAUCAGGAGGAACACCAAUGGCGAAGGCAGGUCUCUGGGCCAAUACUGACACUGAGGAGCGAAAGUCUGGGGAGCGGACAGGAUUAGAUACCCUGGUAGUCCAGACCGUAAACGGUGGGCACUAGUUGUGGGAACCUUCCACGGUUUCUGCGACGCAGCUAACGCAUUAAGUGCCCCGCCUGGGGAGUACGAUCGCAAGAUUAAAACUUAAAGGAAUU
This 562-nucleotide ribosomal RNA is filed under the name uncultured bacterium. RNAcentral describes it as "bacterial SSU rRNA". It matches the Rfam family "Bacterial small subunit ribosomal RNA", at positions 338 to 911 of the family's 1533-position model. The record is from RNAcentral.